This is a long non-coding RNA of Lolium perenne, 178 nucleotides long. RefSeq lists it as uncharacterized. Lineage: Eukaryota; Viridiplantae; Streptophyta; Magnoliopsida; Poales; Poaceae. The record is from RefSeq and is a predicted model, not a curated record.
AGCGAUAUUGGUUGGUCUAUGUACCAGUGAGAGGUUGAGGUGCUCCUUGGGAUAAUGCGGCAAAAGUGACAGAUUUAGAUUCUUUCUGUGAUGUUAGAAAGAGACACAACAGUAGCAAAGAGUCCUUGCUCCCCCUUUGGUGUUGCCCUGCAGGCCUUGGUCUCCUGAUUGGGUUGUU